UGGCGGCAGGCCUAACACAUGCAAGUCGAGCGAACCCUUCGGGGUUAGCGGCGGACGGGUUAGUAACGCGUGGGAAUAUACCCUUUGGUACGGAAUAGCCUCGGGAAACUGAGAGUAAUACCGUAUGUGCCCUUCGGGGGAAAGAUUUAUCGCCAAAGGAUUAGCCCGCGUUGGAUUAGGUAGUUGGUGGGGUAAUGGCCUACCAAGCCUACGAUCCAUAGCUGGUUUGAGAGGAUGAUCAGCAACACUGGGACUGAGACACGGCCCAGACUCCUACGGGAGGCAGCAGUGGGGAAUCUUAGACAAUGGGCGCAAGCCUGAUCUAGCCAUGCCGCGUGGACGAUGAAGGCCUUAGGGUUGUAAAGUCCUUUCAGAUGGGAAGAUAAUGACGGUACCAUCAGAAGAAGCCCCGGCUAACUCCGUG
RNAcentral lists this ribosomal RNA (424 nucleotides) under uncultured bacterium. RNAcentral describes it as "bacterial SSU rRNA". It matches the Rfam family "Bacterial small subunit ribosomal RNA", at positions 37 to 507 of the family's 1533-position model. The record is from RNAcentral.